This 253-nucleotide ribosomal RNA is filed under the name uncultured bacterium. Its description in RNAcentral is "partial 16S ribosomal RNA". It matches the Rfam family "Bacterial small subunit ribosomal RNA", at positions 524 to 776 of the family's 1533-position model. The record is from RNAcentral.
UACGAAGGGUGCAAGCGUUACUCGGAAUUACUGGGCGUAAAGCGUGCGUAGGUGGUUCGUUAAGUCUGAUGUGAAAGCCCUGGGCUCAACCUGGGAAUGGCAUUGGAAACUGGCGACCUAGAGUGCGGUAGAGGGUAGUGGAAUUCCCGGUGUAGCAGUGAAAUACGUAGAGAUCGGGAGGAACACCCGUGGCGAAGGCGACUACCUGGACCAGCACUGACACUGAGGCACGAAAGCGUGGGGAGCAAACAGG